This 465-nucleotide ribosomal RNA is filed under the name uncultured bacterium. RNAcentral's name for it is "partial 16S ribosomal RNA". It matches the Rfam family "Bacterial small subunit ribosomal RNA", at positions 28 to 507 of the family's 1533-position model. The record is from RNAcentral.
GAUGAACGCUGGCGGCGUGCUUAACACAUGCAAGUCGAACGGAAAGGCUCCUGCUUGCCGGGGUACUCGAGUGGCGAACGGGUGAGUAACACGUGGGUGAUCUGCCCUGCACUUCGGGAUAAGCCUGGGAAACUGGGUCUAAUACCGGAUAGGACCACAUUUUGGGUGGUGUGGUGGAAAGUUUUUCGGUGUGGGAUGAGCUCGCGGCCUAUCAGCUUGUUGGUGGGGUAAUGGGCUACCAAGGCGUCGACGGGUAGCCGGCCUGGGAGGGUGUACGGCCACAUUGGGACUGAGAUACGGCCCAGACUCCUACGGGAGGCAGCAGUGGGGAAUAUUGCACAAUGGGCGCAAGCCUGAUGCAGCGACGCCGCGUGGGGGAUGACGGCCUUCGGGUUGUAAACUCCUUUCGCUAGGGACGAAGCGCAAGUGACGGUACCUGGAGAAGAAGCACCGGCUAACUACGUG